Molecule: long non-coding RNA, 1728 nt
Organism: Trifolium pratense (red clover)
Lineage: Eukaryota; Viridiplantae; Streptophyta; Magnoliopsida; Fabales; Fabaceae
Exons: 2
Source: RefSeq, a predicted model, not a curated record
AUUAAAGAAUUUUCCAUACUCUAAUGUGAAAUGAUAUUUACUAAAUCUCUAGAGUCAUCUUUAUUGUUUAUGAACUAGUGAACUACCGCUUUGAGUGUAUAAAAUGAAAUGUCAUUUUCGUAUCUUUUCCUAAGUUAAUCUUACACCACCCUCUUUUUUUAUUAUGGGCCUUACACCACCCUUUUAAGGAUUGGAAAAGGUGUUAAGAAAUGGGGUUGUAAACUAUACACUGACAUAUCUAAACAACUUUAAUAAUCACUAAUUUUUUAAUAUCUUUCUUGCGUCUUUAUAACCGGUGAAAAAAACUCAUUAGACAUUGAGGAAAAAAUUAAUGUUUGUUGCAUGAAUAGAGAGAAAAAAAUAUGUUACAAAUCUUUAAGCCUCUUUAUGCUAUGAUCGUCUUUAUUUCUCUAUUUUUUGUUGUACUGGACGUAAGCGCCGGUCGUGGUUAUUAUUGUUCUGAAAACGUUUGGUGUCAUCAAGGUUUGUGUACACAUCCUAUGAAAGCGAUUUGUGCCCCUGAUAAUCUAUGUGUGUGCAUGUGAAAUAGUUACAGUUAAAUUAGUGACUUAUUGCAUUAUAUAUUAGUUUUUUUUGUGGUUGUUUUUGAAUAGUUCUUUUGACGGGCGCAAACCAUCCUCUUCUUGGAGCAACCCUAGCCGCCGCCACCGCCGUCGCCGUCCAACCAGUCGCGCCUCCUCUCACACCGAACCCGUCGUGAUGUAGCUGUGCAUAGAGGUGGUGCGAUUGUUUCCCUUGGCCAUUUAUAUUGACAAUUUAGUUUGGAUAUCUUUUUCUGGACCGAUCCUUGGUUGGGCGGGAUUUCCCUUGUGUGAGAGAUUUAGGCGCUUAUUUGAUUUGGCGGAGAAUAAGUCGAGUACAGUGGCUGAAAUGUAUGCUUUAGGGUGGGAGGCGGGAGGGGCAGCGUGGGUGUGACCGAGACAAUUGUAGGUGUGGGAAGAGGAGAUGUUGGGGGAGUGUCAGAAUUUACUUCACGAUCUCUCUUUGCAGGCCUAGGUUCCUGAUUUGUGGCAGUGGCAGCCUAAUCCGGUUCGCGGUAACUCAGUUAGUGAUGCAUAUCAGCUAUUGACUUCUCAGCACACUAUUACUUUGGAGGCAGUUGAUCAACUUAUUUGGCACAAACAGGUUCCCUUGAAGGUUUCUAUCUUCGCGUGGAGACUAUUGUGAGACAGGUUACCAACAAAAUUUAACUUCGUAUCCUGCGGCAUCAUCACUCCAGAAGCUCAUUUUUGUGUUUCCUGUGGCGGUGUUGAAUUAGCUCAUCACUUAUUCCUCUCUUGCAUCUUUUUUGGUUCUCUUUGGUCGUCAGUAUGGUCAUGGAUUGGUUUCUCGUCGGUGGACUCACAAUACUUGUCUCGCCAUUUUAUUCAUUUCACUUUUCCAUCAGGUGGUCUUCGUGCGCAACGAUCUUUCAUACAACUCAUUUGACUCUUAUGUGUGUGGGUUGUGUGGAGUGGAUGAAAUCAGAGACUUUUCAGAAACUCGGAGUGUACCCUACCUCAAGUAUUAGACAAGGUCAAACUGUAUUCCUAUCAUUGGUUGAAGACAAUAAACAUUAGUCUAGCUUCAAACUACCAUAGUUGGUGGUUGAGCCCGUUUACUUGUUUUGGGAUUGAUUAGUAUUUUUGUUGUUUGUUCGUAUUGACAUUUUGUAAUCUUCUGUAGUUUUUUCCGCACACCUUGUACUGAGAAGAUUAUUUUAAUUAA